Molecule: unclassified non-coding RNA, 334 nt
Filed under: soil metagenome
Description: partial contains 5.8S ribosomal RNA, internal transcribed spacer 2, and large subunit ribosomal RNA
Rfam family: 5.8S ribosomal RNA (bases 1-120)
Source: RNAcentral
GAUGAAGAACGUAGCGAAAUGCGAUACGUAGUGUGAAUUGCAGAAUUCAGUGAAUCAUCGAAUCUUUGAACGCACAUUGCGCCCGCCAGUAUUCUGGCGGGCAUGCCUGUUCGAGCGUCAUUUCAACCAUCAAGCCCCAGGCUUGUGUUGGAGCCCUGCGGCUGCCGCAGCCUCCCAAAACCAGUGGCGGGCUCGCUAUCACACCGAGUGCAGUAGUUUACUCUUCGCUCAGGGCGUGUGGCGGGUGCUAGCCGUAAAACCCCCAACUUCUCAAGGUUGACCUCGGAUCAGGUAGGAAUACCCGCUGAACUUAAGCAUAUCAAUAAGCGGAGGA